AGUGAACGCUGGCGGUAGGCCUAACACAUGCAAGUCGAACGGCAGCACAGUAAGAGCUUGCUCUUACGGGUGGCGAGUGGCGGACGGGUGAGGGAUACAUCGGAAUCUACUUUUUCGGGGGGGAUAACGUAGGGAAACUUACGCUAAUACAGCAUACGACCUACGGGUGAAAGCAGGGGAACUUCGGACCUUGCGCGAUUGAAUGAGCCGAUGUCGGAUUAGCUAGUUGGGGGGGUAAAGGCCCACCAAGGCGACGAUCCGUAGCUGGUCUGAGAGGAUGAUCAGCCACACUGGAACUGGAACACGGUCCAGACUCCUACGGGAGGCAGCAGUGGGGAAUAUUGGACAAUGGGCGCAAGCCUGCUCCAGCCAUCCCGCGUGGGUGAAGAAGGCCUUCGGUUUGUAAAGCCUUUUUGUUGGGAAAGAAAAGCAGCAGGUUAAUACCCCGCUGUUCUGACGGUACCCAAAGAAUAAGCACCGGCUAACUUCGUG
RNAcentral lists this ribosomal RNA (492 nucleotides) under uncultured bacterium. RNAcentral describes it as "partial 16S ribosomal RNA". It matches the Rfam family "Bacterial small subunit ribosomal RNA", at positions 29 to 507 of the family's 1533-position model. The record is from RNAcentral.